Molecule: ribosomal RNA, 468 nt
Filed under: uncultured bacterium
Lineage: Bacteria
Description: partial 16S ribosomal RNA
Rfam family: Bacterial small subunit ribosomal RNA
Source: RNAcentral
GACGAACGCUGGCGGCGUGCUUAACACAUGCAAGUCGAACGGAAAGGCCCUGCUUUUGUGGGGUGCUCGAGCGGCGAACGGGUGAGUAACACGUGAGUAACCUGCCCUUGACUUUGGGAUAACUUCAGGAAACUGGGGCUAAUACCGGAUAGGAGCUCCUGCUGCAUGGUGGGGGUUGGAAAGUUUCGGCGGUUGGGGAUGGACUCGCGGCUUAUCAGCUUGUUGGUGGGGUAGUGGCUUACCUAGGCUUUGACGGGUAGCCGGCCUGAGAGGGUGACCGGCCACAUUGGGACUGAGAUACGGCCCAGACUCCUACGGGAGGCAGCAGGGGGGAAUAUUGCACAAUGAGCGGAAGCCUGAUGCAGCAACGCCGCGUGCGGGAUGACGGCCUUCGGGUUGUAAACCGCUUUCGCCUGUGACGAAGCGUGAGUGACGGUAAUGGGUAAAGAAGCACCGGCUAACUACGUG